UUCUAUAGUUUAUUUCAAACAGUGGCCUGCAAAGCUAAAAAUGUUUCGCACUGGAAUUU
Molecule: transfer RNA, 59 nt
Filed under: Sabella spallanzanii
Lineage: Eukaryota; Metazoa; Annelida; Polychaeta; Sabellida; Sabellidae
Description: tRNA-Cys
Source: RNAcentral